Sebastes umbrosus (honeycomb rockfish) is the source of this 188-nucleotide long non-coding RNA. RefSeq lists it as uncharacterized. NCBI's taxonomy places the organism in Eukaryota, Metazoa, Chordata, Actinopteri, Perciformes, Sebastidae. The record is from RefSeq and is a predicted model, not a curated record. The transcript is spliced from 3 exons.
GGCGGUAAUUCUAAUCUUCCUGCAUGUGAUGUAGGAAGGGGAGACAAAUCUAAAUGGCUUGAUGAAUCACAUGUCUUCUGAUCUAGACAGCCCACAAAAAACUGACUGGGUUGUCUUCUUUCACAUUUUGUGGGUUGGUAGGUACUCCAGAUACUCAAGCUACCAGUGGCUCGCUAAAGGUUAAAAGA